CCCUGAAGCCUUUUUUACACCCGGCCACCUCUCCCCCUGAUUCCUCUCUGUCUCUCGCACUACAGGGUUGUCGCUGCCAACUCCAAUUGCAGGAAGCUCCGGCGGACUCCCAACCCACUGCUCACCGGCCUGCCCCACUCCGUCUAUGUUCUCCUUCAGUCCUUCGCCCGAGGCCACCGCUCCCCUACACGCGCGGCACGCAACAACCCUAGCCGCCACACAUCGCCGGCGUGGCUCCGACAGCUCCGGUUUAUCGGCCCACUACCCCUGCAUCACCUCACGCGCGGCAGCCGGCUCGGGCUUAUGUUGAUCGAUGUACAUCACUUAUGCAUUACAAUCAGGAGAAAUCGAUCCAUGCAGAAGAAGCCUUAAGAAUUAUUUAACUCAUUUGUUUAUAGCUUGGCGAGGAUCCUUUCGCAUGUUACAGUAAGGAAAACAUGAAUUUGUAUCUUAUUCUUUUUUCUGGUUGAUGUAAUAUUUGUUUUCCCUGGACAAAAACUUAUGUUAGUUUCAGUUUCUUAUUCAGUUAAAAUUUGCACACUACAAUCUUGAAGUUUAUGCAAGAGCUCAGAUGGAAAUAAUUCUUACACUCAUAUUAUCCAAUAUAAAUUGUUAAAUAAUUGAUAAAGUUUGAAGGUGCGAUACAAGAACAUCAUACCUUGAUAUUCUUGUCAUAUGUAUAUGACUCAUAUUGUUGAAAUCUCACCUCUAAAUCGAGUUUAGUGCUCUUUUUUUGGAAAUACAGGUACUUCUGAAUUCCUGCAAUUUCUGUACUAAUUUUGUAUUUUGUGAGGAGCCACAGAUGUUUACAAAUACUAGAAUGAUGCAUGAUGGGUCGCACACAAACUCUUGACCAGGUGCCUCUCACAUCUUCUCAUGUUUGUACUAUAUUCUUCUUAAACUGUUAACACAAUGAGCAUGUACUUGGUUCAUCCAAGAACACAAUGAGCAUGUACUUGGUUCAUCCAAGAACGUAAACAUUAAAAAUAUUCCUCUUGUGCACUCUCCUUCCCUGACAUACAGGGCACACUACGGUGGUUGGAUGAUACUAACAACCAUAAACAGACAGCUAAGCGAUCAGAUGCGACGACUGUGCGAGUGUGUCAGGUACGUCGAAUUCACUGAUCCGAAACUAUUGGAUCUUACUAGGAUCCCCUCUUCUCUGUAAUACUCAGGGCCUUCUCCUCUACCUAUUCGGCCAACAGUUUCAGCAUCCAGCAACCAUGGUGACAAAGAUGAGCGUACUGGAACUGCUCUAAGUUUCCACGUUCUCGGUAAACAAGCUACAGAGACUCGAUUGUUCCAAGUCGAUGUUGUUGGCGCUAAAACAUAGAAGACUACUAGUGCCAAGCUGGAUUUACUAGGAGAUAGAUUCCAAUAUUCGAUGGUGCAUGUCUCAGAUGUUGGUUGCAAGGUCAAGAAUAGGGGUGCUACUAGAUAGUUUCACAUUGUGUCUUAGAAUGCCAUUUCCAGUGCCAAUGUUUCAAUCAUUAUGUAUCUGAUAUUUUUGGUGUCAAUGUUAGAUCAUUAUGUUUCAGAAUGGCUGACACGUAGGUUGCAAGGUCAAGAAUGGGAUUACUACUAGUUUCACAUCUUGUAAUCUUUGUAUGGUGUACUUUGUAAUGCAACCAAGUUGAUUUAAUAUAUGAGAAAUUUCUGUUUA
Molecule: non-coding RNA, 1663 nt
Organism: Aegilops tauschii subsp. strangulata
Lineage: Eukaryota; Viridiplantae; Streptophyta; Magnoliopsida; Poales; Poaceae
Source: RefSeq, a predicted model, not a curated record